Solea senegalensis (Senegalese sole) is the source of this 810-nucleotide long non-coding RNA. RefSeq lists it as uncharacterized. NCBI's taxonomy places the organism in Eukaryota, Metazoa, Chordata, Actinopteri, Pleuronectiformes, Soleidae. The transcript has 4 exons. The record is from RefSeq and is a predicted model, not a curated record.
AAAAAAGGGGAAAAGUGGAGUUGUUCAAUUUACAAAUAUUAAGCUUGUAUAAAUAACAUGAAAUCUUUCUGUUUCCCUUCAAAACAUAUGCCAAUCUUGAAGAUCACACUUAAUUUUCAGCGGUGUUACAUCUACAUAUCUAAAUCAUGUUAAUACCAAAUGAAAUAGUUAUGGUUUUCCUCCGCCCCCUUGGAGCAGUGGAAGGAAACCCCAUCUAUCGAGAAACUUUCAACGAGGGAAUAUUUUGGGGUCUGCCAUUUCACCACUGAUGCUGCAAGCACCAACGAGUCAUCUGCUUAAGACUCCUUUCCUUCCAGUGUCCGCCAGAUUACAAGUGAGGACACUGAGGUUGUAAGAGAACUAAUCAUAAAGGGACUGUGCGUAUAUCUUCACGAGGACCCAGCACACCUGUUCAUGGAAUAUGAGAGUGAAGACCAUGCUGCAAUCCAGGACGGAAUCGGGGACACCACGGUGGGAAUUUUCCUCAUAAGGCAAAAUGGCGGUAGUGAGGUAGAGGACAUCCUUGUGGUCCUUGAAGGCCAGGCCAUAUUGGUCGACCUACCAAGUGUUGGAGUGGCGGUUGCCAUGCUGUUUGGCCCUAUUUACAACUUAAACCUGGACUACUCUCCUCAACUCAGAUACACCUUUGAGGUGGUACAGAAAGUUGUAAUGGAGUUGGAAGGCAAAGUGCUGUCAAAAAGGGCUCAGGCCCUGAAAAUCCAACUCUUUGAAUACAGAUGGUAUCUUAGAAAACGUCAUAGUUUUCUGUUUUGCAAAUUUUGUUAUAUAUGUUUAUGAGAGCGCCUAAGU